This 1950-nucleotide ribosomal RNA is filed under the name Triticum aestivum (bread wheat). RNAcentral's name for it is "partial small subunit ribosomal RNA". The record is from RNAcentral. Lineage: Eukaryota; Viridiplantae; Streptophyta; Magnoliopsida; Poales; Poaceae.
AUGCAGAAAAAUAAGAGGGCGAGUGGUCACGCAAGUAGCUUGAGAAAGGUGCAAAGCACCAUCAAAAAGAAGGAAAAAAUUGGAAGUAGUCGCAAAAGAGGCAUUACUACUCGGAAAGGACACCUGAGAGAGAAUAUAUUUGGCUACUCAUCGCCUGAUCGGGAUAUUUCUAGCACCAAGUUCGAAGAGCGACAAUUUGGCAAUGUAUAUGAACCUGGUCAAGCUGACUGGUGUGAACUAAGUAAAAGACUAGCUUCACAUUUGUCUGUGGAAGUUGUCUCACUUGCUUUGUUCGAUGGAGAUAAGAUGUUAUAUGCAUGCACGGGUAUAGUUCUACCACGUGGGACAUCAAGACUGGACCUAACAAGAUUCCUGACUUCAUCACAGUUGGUUGCAGUCUUUAAUUUUAAAAGAAACAAGGAUGAUAAAUUGAGGGUUUUGGUGCGCCUUCCUGACAAAAAAACUAUACCUGGGAUCUUAGGACUAUAUGAUAAAUGUAUUGCUAUUGUUACAUCCGAAUACUUCCAAGAUGUUAUGCCAUUAGACAUGUAUCAGCAAACAUAUCUGCCUAAUCCUUCGACGAUGGUAGCUGGGCGUGCCUGCAAUUCAAGCAGUUUGAUGGGCACGAUUGGGGAGCUGACUGAUAUAGGAGCUGAUUAUGAAGAUCUUGUGGCCUCUAACUGUCAGAUCACAGAGGCUGGACUUGGAGGGCCACUCAUUGAUCUUGCUGGCAAUUUUGUUGGGAUCAACAUUUGUUUUCAUGGUGAUACGCAAAGGCCUUUGUUUCUACCAAGGAUAUUGCUUCGUCAACGCUUGGAGCAAUAUGAGGUGCUCAUUCCUGGAAAAGGUUAUGGAGAGAAAAUGCCACCUUAUUGUGCAGGUUUGUUAAUGGGAAAAACCAGCAAUAGCAGGCAGGGAUCUUAUGAACCUCCUCCAGGUGCUUCCAGAAUAAUCCCUUCAGGAUUUAUGGAUACCUGGGAGUGGCUAGAAUCCAUGGGCUACCCUAAACCACCACCACUUAUGCUGGAAUUGAAUGGGCGCCUGGUUAGGACAUUUGAGGAAGUGUUUGGUUGGUUACAUGCUUGGAAAGGUUAUAAAAACUUCGAUAUGUUGCACGGUCAUGGAAAGAAUGCCUGGCAGAGGCUUGAUAAGAAGAUAGUUGCAACUAUAUCCAAUCGUGUUAUCUCACUUGUUUCGUUCAAUGGAGAGGGUACGAGUUUUUUUUCAUGCUCAGGCUUCCUUAUAAGGGGUCCGCCAAGAAAAGGGCACACACGCAAUGUGAUUGUGACUUCGGCCAGUUUGGUUAGAACUUGUGAUGUUACAGACAAAUUUGAUGAGAAUAUGAGGAUUGAGGUGUUUCUCCCACCGAAUCAGCGCUUGAAUGGGACACUGGAAUCAUAUCAUUCCGGAUAUAAUAUUGCUAUUGUCACUGUUAAGGGUUUGCGUGAUAUUUGUCCAGAAGAUAUGAAAUUUGAUGAUCCCAUGAGUAACCAAGAGAAUCCUUUACCCAGAAGGGUGGUAGCUAUAGGGCGUGAGCCCAAAGGAGUGUUAUGUGCCUCAAUGGGUGAACCUAUACUUUGUGAUGAAGACCUGCACUGGCCUAGCACAUUUGGUUGCCAGCAACUUAAGCUGUCCAAUUGUAAAAUCUCGAAGGUUGGUAUUGGAGGCCCCCUGAUAAACUUCUUUAAUGGGCGUCUUGUUGGCAUGAACUUUUGUGAUGGAAGGCCUGAUAGAACUCCCUACCUGCCUUGUAAGCAAAUUCGUGAAGUCUUACAUAGCACAUGGCGCUUAACUACCGACCGCUCUGUGCUCAGAUUGGACAAACCAGAUGUGAACAACAAAUGCAGAUGGCCAGUGCCCAAGCCAUAUUGGUAUCACGGUCUUCUCGAGAUGAAUAGGUUUGGUCCGAUGCCCAUGAUAGGAUGGGCUCGCCAGUUGAAUGGCAUGUGA